RNAcentral lists this ribosomal RNA (558 nucleotides) under Triticum aestivum (bread wheat). Its description in RNAcentral is "partial small subunit ribosomal RNA". Lineage: Eukaryota; Viridiplantae; Streptophyta; Magnoliopsida; Poales; Poaceae. The record is from RNAcentral.
AUGCCGCUCAUCGUCCGCGAGGAGGACCAGGCGGCCGAGGACGCCUACCAGGCGGCCCUUGCGGCCGUCUACCGGGAGAGCGAGGAGGACGAGCAGCGCAGGGCGGAGGUGGCGGAGGAAGAGGAGGCUCGCUACGAGGCGGCAAUGGCGCAUGCACUUGCCCUCUCCGCGGCGGGCGACUGCGUGGUGCUGCCGGUGGCCCCGCCGUCCCCUCCCCGAUGCCUCAUCAAGCCGGAGAAGCAGCCGGAACCCGAGCCGAAGCCGUCCCCCAUCGAGCGCUACUCCUGGACGGGAGUAGUGCGCGAGUGGGUACGCGCGCCGCCGGUCUGGAUGGGGGCGACGCCGGUGCAGGAGGCGGCGUACCUCGAGCACUGGCGCCAGAUUCGGGUGGCCAAGAAGCGCUGCGACGUCGAGUACCUCGAGAUGCUCGAGCGCGACCUCGAGGAGGAGCAGCGUGAGGCCGAGGAGGAGGCGCACCAGGCCGCGGCCGCACAGGCCCCCGCGCCGGCACAGCCUGCGCCCGACAUGGCUGCGCUCUGGAACACAUCGUUCUCCUAG